AGUGAACGCUGGCGGUAGGCCUAACACAUGCAAGUCGAACGGCAGCACAGUAAGAGCUUGCUCUUACGGGUGGCGAGUGGCGGACGGGUGAGGAAUACAUCGGAAUCUACUUUUUCGUGGGGGAUAACGUAGGGAAACUUACGCUAAUACCGCAUACGACCUACGGGUGAAAGCAGGGGAUCUUCGGACCUUGCGCGAUUGAAUGAGCCGAUGUCGGAUUAGCUAGUUGGCGGGGUAAGGGCCCACCAAGGCGACGAUCCGUAGCUGGUCUGAGAGGAUGAUCAGCCACACUGGAACUGAGACACGGUCCAGACUCCUACGGGAGGCAGCAGUGGGGAAUAUUGGACAAUGGGCGCAAGCCUGAUACAGCCAUACCGCGUGGGUGAAGAAGGCCUUCGGGUUGUAAAGCCCUUUUGUUGGGAAAGAAAAGCAGCAGGUUAAUACCCCGCUGUUCUGACGGUACCCAAAGAAUAAGCACCGGCUAACUUCGUG
Molecule: ribosomal RNA, 492 nt
Filed under: uncultured bacterium
Lineage: Bacteria
Description: partial 16S ribosomal RNA
Rfam family: Bacterial small subunit ribosomal RNA
Source: RNAcentral